CACAAGCAUAGUGUAACAUAGUUCUUGGC
RNAcentral lists this non-coding RNA (29 nucleotides) under Mus musculus (house mouse). Lineage: Eukaryota; Metazoa; Chordata; Mammalia; Rodentia; Muridae. The record is from RNAcentral.